CCAAAUCAGGUUGAAGUAGCGGUUCUCGUACGAUCACCGAAGUUAAGCAACGUCGAGUCUGAUCAGUACCUAGAUGAGUCAACGCUUGUGAAUAGCAGGUGCUGUAAG
Molecule: non-coding RNA, 108 nt
Organism: Acanthosepion pharaonis
Lineage: Eukaryota; Metazoa; Mollusca; Cephalopoda; Sepiida; Sepiidae
Source: the annotation of a GenBank genome assembly